CGCCUGCCCAGUGAAUAAUUAAACGGCCGCGGUACCCUAACCGUGCAAAGGUAGCGUAAUCAUUUGUCUACUAAUUAUAGACCUGUAUGAAAGGCAAAAUGAGGAUUUAACUGUCUCUUAUAAUAAAUCAAUUAAACUGAUCUCCUAGUAAAAAAGCUAGAAUAAUAACAUAAGACCAGAAGACCCUGUGAAGCUUAAAUCAAACUAUUAAACCAUAUAAUAACUACUUUCGGUUGGGGCGACCUUGGAAAAAAAAAGAACUUCCAAGACCCAGCACAGCUGAUAAUUGAACCAAGUUACUCCAGGGAUAACAGCGCAAUCUUCUUCAAGAGCCCAUAUCAAAAAGAAGGUUUACGACCUCGAUGUUGGAUCAGGACAUCCUAAUGGUGCAGCCGCUAUUAAGGGUUCGUUUGUUCAACGAUUAACAGUCCUACGUGAUCUGA
RNAcentral lists this ribosomal RNA (443 nucleotides) under Cemophora coccinea (scarlet snake). RNAcentral describes it as "partial 16S ribosomal RNA". It matches the Rfam family "Bacterial large subunit ribosomal RNA", at positions 1856 to 2608 of the family's 2925-position model. The record is from RNAcentral. Lineage: Eukaryota; Metazoa; Chordata; Lepidosauria; Squamata; Colubridae.